CUGAUUGAUGGUGCUUGCACCUGAUUGACGAUGGAUCACCAGUGAGUGGCGGACGGGUGAGUAACACGUAGGUAACCUGCCCCGGAGCGGGGGAUAACAUUUGGAAACAGAUGCUAAUACCGCAUAACAACAAAAGCCACAUGGCUUUUGUUUGAAAGAUGGCUUUGGCUAUCACUCUGGGAUGGACCUGCGGUGCAUUAGCUAGUUGGUAAGGUAACGGCUUACCAAGGCGAUGAUGCAUAGCCGAGUUGAGAGACUGAUCGGCCACAAUGGAACUGAGACACGGUCCAUACUCCUACGGGAGGCAGCAGUAGGGAAUCUUCCACAAUGGGCGCAAGCCUGAUGGAGCAACACCGCGUGAGUGAAGAAGGGUUUCGGCUCGUAAAGCUCUGUUGUUGGAGAAGAACGUGCGUGAGAGUAACUGUUCACGCAGUGACGGUAUCCAACCAGAAAGUCACGGCUAACUACGUGCCAGCAGCCGCGGUAAUACGUAGGUGGCAAGCGUUAUCCGGAUUUAUUGGGCGUAAAGCGAGCGCAGGCGGUUGCUUAGGUCUGAUGUGAAAGCCUUCGGCUUAACCGAAGAAGUGCAUCGGAAACCGGGCGACUUGAGUGCAGAAGAGGACAGUGGAACUCCAUGUGUAGCGGUGGAAUGCGUAGAUAUAUGGAAGAACACCAGUGGCGAAGGCGGCUGUCUGGUCUGCAACUGACGCUGAGGCUCGAAAGCAUGGGUAGCGAACAGGAUUAGAUACCCUGGUAGUCCAUGCCGUAAACGAUGAGUGCUAGGUGUUGGAGGGUUUCCGCCCUUCAGUGCCGGAGCUAACGCAUUAAGCACUCCGCCUGGGGAGUACGACCGCAAGGUUGAAACUCAAAGGAAUUGACGGGGGCCCGCACAAGCGGUGGAGCAUGUGGUUUAAUUCGAAGCUACGCGAAGAACCUUACCAGGUCUUGACAUCUUGCGCUAACCUUAGAGAUAAGGCGUUCCCUUCGGGGACGCAAUGACAGGUGGUGCAUGGUCGUCGUCAGCUCGUGUCGUGAGAUGUUGGGUUAAGUCCCGCAACGAGCGCAACCCUUGUUACUAGUUGCCAGCAUUAAGUUGGGCACUCUAGUGAGACUGCCGGUGACAAACCGGAGGAAGGUGGGGACGACGUCAGAUCAUCAUGCCCCUUAUGACCUGGGCUACACACGUGCUACAAUGGACGGUACAACGAGUCGCAAGCUCGCGAGAGUAAGCUAAUCUCUUAAAGCCGUUCUCAGUUCGGACUGUAGGCUGCAACUCGCCUACACGAAGUCGGAAUCGCUAGUAAUCGCGGAUCAGCAUGCCGCGGUGAAUACGUUCCCGGGCCUUGUACACACCGCCCGUCACACCAUGGGAGUUUGUAACGCCCAAAGUCG
RNAcentral lists this ribosomal RNA (1392 nucleotides) under Limosilactobacillus reuteri. Its description in RNAcentral is "bacterial SSU rRNA". It matches the Rfam family "Bacterial small subunit ribosomal RNA", at positions 63 to 1429 of the family's 1533-position model. Lineage: Bacteria; Bacillati; Bacillota; Bacilli; Lactobacillales; Lactobacillaceae. The record is from RNAcentral.